This 237-nucleotide long non-coding RNA is filed under the name Hordeum vulgare. RNAcentral describes it as "long non-coding RNA (HVUL_LNC006756)". Lineage: Eukaryota; Viridiplantae; Streptophyta; Magnoliopsida; Poales; Poaceae. The record is from RNAcentral.
UUCAAGUCCACACCAACGUUACGCGGGCCCCACACCCGCCGCCUCCUCUUCCUUCUCCGUCUCCCCCUCGCAGCGUCGCGCCAGUGCCCGUGAUCAGUGCAGGCGGGCGGCGGCAGCUUUCCACCUCCCCUGGCACAGCUCGAUUCCCCNGCGAAGAAACGGCGCCGCCGCGGGCCGCGGCCGGAGGCCCUGCACCCUAAACCCUAGCAAUGAUGAGUUACCAGAGCCCGACGGCCC